AGGCGAAGGAGGUGGAUCAAAAAAAUAAAAAAUCGAUUUUUGUGAAAUUUUUUGGAAAGUUCUUGGAAAGUUCUUAAAAAGUUGUUCUACGCGAGUGCAAGAUGUGCAAGUGCAUUGCAGGAACUUGUGUAUGCUGCUGCUGUCAGUGCGCGAUGAGUAUUUUCAUCUCCCUGCUUUUUGUCGGAAUACUAAUUGCCGUGGCCGUGGCUCUCGGUAUCUACUUCGGGCUCUUGAACGUCGAUGAUACCGCACCGGGAUUCUCCGAUUUGGUCCACAAAACGGGAGAUUCUAUAAAGGACAGCAUCCAGAAGAAGUUGGACUAGGCGGAAGCGCUUCCAAGCAUGAACAUCGGCCACAUAUUUUUACAUCACAUGCACUUUAAUCAAUCGCCAAUGUUCCUAUUUACUCGCAUUUACCUAAAGUUAAUCACGAAUCUCCCCCUCGGUGUGCGCUGCCGCCUGCCAAAGCAUGCCCCAGCCCAGGCUGUUGCAAAUUCAAGUGCUUCGUACAAAUUUAAGUGCUUUAAUCGUCGUAUAUACAUGAGAGUAAACGAAUCUCAAGCGCAACUUACAUUAAUCAGGACCCAGGCAGCCCCACGAUACUGACGACCAGCAGCGAAUGCUGCAUCCUAUUUGCUAUUGCCAUCGCAGUGGCCAUCUACUACGGUUUUAUUCACGUCGACGAGUCUACCUCCGAUGCUAUCAAAGAUGCUGGGUCCAAGAUAAAACACAGCAUCAAAGAUGGGUUGAAAAAGUUAGACGAUUAGCUAUAUACCAGCGACCCAAACAACGCUUUACAACGCAGAAUCUCAUAAAGCAGCUUGAAUUGAUCCACCUAUUUCAUCCAGCUACACAGCGAAUUGCAGCAUUGGCGUUCUCAAUUGACCUCAAGGUGCGCAUUGGCGCCAGCGAAAGAUUUUUACAAUAUACAAAUAUUAUAAUACCCUUUUUCGUCCAUAUUGAAAUACAAGAGUAAAAUGUAAAAUGAUUUCCGGGUGGUUCAAUCAGAGUACGCAUGAUUUUCGAGAAAGAGGUAACAGGCGACGGCAAUGGAGUCUCUGCUGUGCUUUUUCACGACUUU
Anopheles darlingi is the source of this 1080-nucleotide long non-coding RNA. RefSeq lists it as uncharacterized. Lineage: Eukaryota; Metazoa; Arthropoda; Insecta; Diptera; Culicidae. The transcript has 6 exons. The record is from RefSeq and is a predicted model, not a curated record.